Transfer RNA from Bacteroides reticulotermitis JCM 10512, 85 nucleotides. It matches the Rfam family "tRNA". From Rfam's summary of the family: Transfer RNA (tRNA) molecules are approximately 80 nucleotides in length. Their secondary structure includes four short double-helical elements and three loops (D, anti-codon, and T loops). Lineage: Bacteria; Pseudomonadati; Bacteroidota; Bacteroidia; Bacteroidales; Bacteroidaceae. The record is from Rfam.
GGAGAGGUGGCAGAGUGGUCGAUUGCGGCGGUCUUGAAAACCGUUGAAGGUCAUACUUCCGGGGGUUCGAAUCCCUCCCUCUCCG